CUAAUGCUGGGUAUUGGCGUAAGUCCGACUGACAACUCAGUGAGCUCCCUGAGGGUACUUGCAGUGAACGGAGUUUCUUCCAUAGAAAAGGCGCUCUCCAGCUGAAGACAUUGUUGCAAUUCAUGAGCUUGAAUUUCAUGCCGCUGUCGUGCUGGCCCACGGUUCGCGCAAAACUACAAUAUAUACAUAUAUACAGCAGUAUGCGUGCUCCGCUCGAGCACACUACAGCGUCCACUGGGUAAAAGUGUGGGGCGGAAGCGCUGUUGGACGUGUUGGGUGUUAGUAAAAGAUAUGAGUGAGUGCGCCUGCUGGCGUUUUGUCAACGUUUCAAAUGGUGGAUGGGAGUAAAUCGAGGUCUAGGUACCUAAACGACGGUUUCACAGCUUUCUGCUCUACUGUACAUACGUGGCCUCACGAUGCGGUUGUCUGCAUUACGUGGCUUCUUCGUCACCAUGGACUGCCUGAUCGGAUUUACAGCUUAUUGCAGCAGUAAGGUUCUUGAAUUUGUAUUGCAGCGAACAACUGUAUCCUUCAAAUUUCGAUCUACUAAAUGAUGAACGCCUGCGAACAAGUAGACGUGUGGUGCUCCUGCGCAUGAGAUGUGAUUCAGUCCCUGCUCCCCGACCCCCCAGCAUGAGCAACGCUAAACUCAUCGUGCCGUCUCAUGUGUCCCAGUGUCGAGUGAGCGUUUGUCAGUACACCCCUCCGCCGCUGUGAAUGUGGGCCGAUUGACUGCACUGUCACAGUUAUAUGCGUUUCAGCAAGUGACAACGUCGUCAGAUAACACCCGAGCGGAAUAUGCAGUAUGUUGAGCAAGAACCACAAUGCAGGUCUGCCUCGCCCAGAUUGGAUGUCCGCGAUUUUUGCUUGCGACGCUGCCUUCCGCCAGCUGCAGUGUCAAUGCUCUCCGUCGCCUCUUUUGACAGCAGCUGGACCGCACCACACGGUACUUGAGGCCUUCGGGUAUCUACGAUGAGCAAGUGGUCAUUUUCUCAUUUCAUGGAUGUGCCACACACUUACGAUCAAACUAGUAACCGAGACAGCGUUAUACGGAAAUCUGAGCCAGCAAAGAAAUAUUCGGUGGACCAGCUGGAUGUUCAGGUGCUUGUACGCUUGGCGGAAAAUAAUAUGUUUCCAAGAAGUGCGAUCUGAGUUUCAACACCAGUGCCUCUCGCCUUUCCCGCUACCUGACGGACGGGAGAUCAGUCCAUCAGUCCCGCUGUACCCGAAAUCUUAGGGAUAUCGACUGUGCUGCCACGAAGGUCUGAUAUUUGUUCGUAAUCAAUAGGCGCUCGUUGCGAGAACAGUGAGUCACCAUUUUUGCGUUGCAGUGUAUUCAGCUACUAAAUUAGGGGUUCUCGCCCAGUGCCCUCUUUCAUGCCUAGCGGAAUACAUACCUGGAAUUGUGAGCGGGAGGGAGUGUAGUUCGGGAACCUGGCCGGUUCUCAAUGCCUUAUGUUGCUGGUAGACAAGUACGCGAAGUGUAUCUCAGAUCGAGUCUAAUACCGCGUUUCCUAUGAACAGAAGGCAGAUAAAUAUGAAACGGCAACGCGAGUGCGAUACUGGCGUAUGCGGGGACCGAUGCAAAGGAGCACUCGCAGUGAUGGGCUGACGGUCCUAAGGUACACGCUCAUACGCUGCUCGGGGGGAGAAUGAGAGGACUUGGAUCUGCCUGUUGGUAGCCACACAUCUGGUUUUGUAAUUGAAUUAUAGAGCAGCCCUACUGUAUAAACGGCGGAUCUGUAAGGAUUUCCCCCUGAAGCGUUACGCCCUGCUAGCAACGCGAACCUGCGUCGUAGGGGGCUCACGCUGCCCUAUGGCUCUAGAAUCUUUCAGCGAUGGCCUUGACGCAUGGUAACACCAAACGUGCUGCAUCCGCCUUUGAAUCCCGCUAGAGUCUAGCACGCUGCAGGUCCAAGCGUAGAAUGCGCUCGGGUGGGGGAAUUAGGCCGCAAGUUAUCAAGCAUGAUCGCGAGGAAGAAAGCGGAGUGGCCGCACUCUACCCAGGCGUCAGGUAAAUAUACGUUUUCGCGGAUCCGUAUACCGUGGCUGCGCCGACCUUUCUACAGGCACGUCAUCGCAGACUUUCGCAAACGCCGCGUUUCUGUACGUGCGUGACUUUUCGGAUGAGUAUGUGACAUAAGAUCGUCCGUGUGGAAGUCCCAAGACCAUAGAAAGUGGAAGGAUGCGGACCAGGUCCGUUCAACCGACCCUUUAUUUCGUUGUUUGUCGCUGUGAUUCUGUCCUUCGACUACCCGCACCGCGCAACAAGUGCUGCGUGCUGGCAUUUACUCUGCUUUUCGCUGAAGUAGUUCGAUUUGCCCUCGAAAAGUGAUGAUGCUUGGAGGGAGCUCACAACUGUGUUCAGGCAAUGACGACACUUGUCAUUUAUGUGAUCCUGGCGCAGCAUCGAUCACCUGAUGUUUCCGUCCACAUCUCUUCUCGCAAAUUUUCAAGUGCCCGUGAUGUUCGGUCGCGAAUCGAUUGCGUGUUCAGAUACGCGUAAGUUUCCCUCUGUGUCUCCAGUCUUACUGGCUGCAGCCAAACUGUAGUGAUGGACAUGGAGGAGGAAAGACACUUGUGAUUCGGCAGCUAUACCAUAAUCUGCGAAUGCGGUCUUGUGGAAAAGGUUUCACGAUCUUUCCGUGUAUACCGAGAGACGUAGACGACGGCAGUCAGGUGACAGUUCGUUCAGAAGGGAAUUACUAUGUGUGGCUCCGCUUAGCGAGAGUGCGCUAGUGAGAGGUUACGUCGUAGUAGGGCACAUUUCUGCAGUAUUCUUUUAUUUGCCACAUGCACCGGUUGUCUGAUACCAGACACAUCUCCCAGCAUGGGGACGAGCGGUUGGCUCGCUGUACAACAGGCGGGGGUCGCUGUGUCUCCCGCAUAAACUGCAUCUCUAUUGUUCUGUUGCGUUUUAAGCGAGAAAUGCGUUAGUGUGAACCGGAGAGGUGGCGCUCCGCUGACUAGUACAGACGGUUGAUGAAAGACCAGGGCAGUGCGUCGAUGAUAGCUGGCAACAAGAGCAGCUUUUGUUUCUCAGCUGAGGCCUUCGAACCGGUACAGAUUUGACAACGGACAGCGGCAGGCGGACUGGUGCAGUUUCUGGUGGUACCAAACGGGAAGGUAGCGCUGCAUUUUGGUGUUUUUUCUGACUCAUAACGCCAAAACGCGCUUCUCCAAGAACAAUGUACACGGCGUAAACACGGUGUGUCUAUGGACGGGGGCCCAAUAUGUCGAGACUGGCAGACAGCCGACUGUACAAGAUGGAUCUCCGCACUCGGCAACAUCUCAAAACCAGCCACAAGCAAAUGAUGAUUGGGUCAAUGUUUUUAAUAGCGUGAUUGCGUACGGAAGUGCUUGCUGCUGUAUCACGAAAUACUGAAUGUAUUCAGUACGUUACAAACAGUCAUACUCAAAAAUUGAUUGGUUCGCCUGGCCGACCCAGAUCAUAUCGUUUGAGAGCGUCGUGAGUGAUCCAGGACCAGAGCAACACUUCUGCAAGUGUCGUGUUGAAUUUCUGACGCUCAGGAACCUCAUGCCGAAGAAGACUCAUCUUUGGGUCGCCACGUCGUUGGCAGCUCACACCGAUGAUGGGAUAAACAACCCCCCAACAUAAGUGGGCAAAGAAUCACUCAAGCUACCAGUGACUCGUGGUUUGGUUGACGUCUCGUCGCGACAAUCAUCCAGGAGACUCCCGUAAGUGCUGGAUGUAGAAUGUCUUAACGUUGCAGUCGCAACACCGAGGGUUUAUUGUGCGACUCCACCUACCAGUGCAUGAACUGGGGAGCAGUGAGAG
RNAcentral lists this long non-coding RNA (3799 nucleotides) under Toxoplasma gondii VEG. The record is from RNAcentral. Lineage: Eukaryota; Apicomplexa; Conoidasida; Eucoccidiorida; Sarcocystidae.